AUGAGUCCGCGUGCGUGUGUGCGUUCGCGCGUGUGUGGGGGAGGGGUAAUUUGUUCAUCCUCAGACACUCCCACUUUCCCUUUCCUCCUCUGCAGCGUGCAUAACUUCAACACUCCGACCCACACUUUCACAGUGCGAUCUGGACUCUACAUUGAACAGAUUAUCCGACCGGUAUCGUUAAUCAUGGAUUUGAAAUACUUGGCGGUUAUGGCUGUGCUCGCUGUGGCGACAUACGCUCCUUUCUCACAAGGGUUGUCAACUGAUUUAUUGGAGCCUGGUGGAGAUAGAUGCAAACCUACCAGCAGGACAUUCCUCUGCAUCCAGGUUGAGGCUUGCUACCAGCAGGAACAUGGAGCACUCUGUGUCAGUGAGUCAUGAUAUUGUUUUCCUUUAUAUUGCAUUAAACUAGGGAGGAGGCCCUGGGCCAGUGGGAGGUCAGGGUUGAGCGCUGUCUCUCUUUCUAGCACUCACCUUUCUAGCACUCACCCUUAUCCAUCUCUCUCCAGGUGCUACAGAGACAGAAUGGUCCAAGGACUUUCAAAGCCUUCUGACCAACUAACUGCGAUCUCUCCAGAGUACAGAGAAGUAGUCUACACUCAUAUUAGUAUACUCGAUGCACUAUGUAAACCUACUUCACUAUGGUAGUUCUGCCUGUGUGAUAACAUAGCAUAUUAUCAAGGGCCACUGGUUGGAUUGGAUUUACUGUACUCACGCCAAAACUCUUGCUCUCCCCUCUCUGUAAAAAGCUCCCAAACAUUUGUCAAAACUAACAUGUGUCCAUCCCCCUAUCCCCAGAUGAGUCUGCUAGGCAAUGGAACUUUAGAGCAGCACAUCAAAAGACCUGCCACCCUGUUGUCAGCUAUCUACAAUAUCAAGGCUUUCAAAGGAUACAUUUUGGGGAUGAGUUUUGUAUAAACUCAUUUUAUUGUUGUUAGAUUACAAUACUACUUUUCAUAGCAUGUUUGUAAUGUUGGGUCUUCACACUACCUUUGACUAACUUCUGUUGUAACUUAAACACAAAGACACUUGGAGCUUGUGAUUCAAAAAGUCUAAAGUAAAUGCAACGCAAGUCCAGGGUGAAUACAUUUUUAUUCAUGUACAGUGCAUUCGGAAGGUAAUCAGACCCCUUGACUUUUUCCACAUUUUGUUACGUUACAGCCUUAUUCUAAAAUUGAUUACAUUUUUUUAAAUCAUCAAAACAACACCCCAUAAUGACAAAGCAAAUUUCUAACAAACUUAAAUAUCACGCUUACAUAAGCAUUCAGACCCUUUACUCAGUACUGUGUUUUUGGCAGUGAUUACCGUCUUGUCUUCUUGGGUAUGACACAACGACCUUGGUAAACCUGUAUUUGGGGACUUUCUCCCAUUCUUCUCUGCAGAUUCUUUCAAGCUCUGUCAGGUUGGAUGGUGACUGUCGCUGCACAGCUAUUUUCAGGAAUCUCCAGAUAUGUUCAAUCAGGUUCAAGUCUGGGCCUCUCAAGGGCAUACAGAAACUCCCGAAGCCACUUCUGUGUUGUCUUGGCUGUGUGUUUACGGUCCUUGUCCUGUUGGAAGGUAAAACCUUCACCCCAGUCUGAGGUCCUGAACGCUCUGGGGCAGGUUUUCAUCAAGGAUCUCUCUGUACUUUGCGCCGUUCAUCUUUCCCUCGAUCCUGACUAGUCUCCCAGUUCCUGCUGCUGAAAAAAAUACCCGCAGCAUGAUGCUGCCACCACCAUGCUUCACUGUAAGGAUGGUGCAAGGUUUCAUCCAGACAUGACGCUUGGCAUUCAGGCCAAAGCAUUCAAUAUUAGUUUCAUCAGACCAGAGAAUCUUGUUUCUCAGUCCUUUAGGUGCCUUUUGGCAAACUCCAAGUGGACAGUCGUGCCUUUUACUGAGGAGUGGCUUACGUCUGGCCGCUCUACCAUAAACGCCUGAUUGGUGGAGUGCUGCAGGUGGAGUGCUGGUUGUCCUUCUGGAAGGUUCUUCCAUCUCCACAGAGGAAUUUCCCUGGCCAAGACCCUUUCCCUCGGUUGCACAGUUUGGCCAGCUUUAGGAAGAGUAUUGGUGGUUCCAAACUUCUUCCAUUUAAAUAUGAUGGAGGCCACUGUGUUCUGGGGGACCUUCAAUUCUACAGACGUUUUUUGGUACCCUUCCCCAGAUCUAUACUUCGAUACAAUCCUGUCUUCGAGCUCUGACAAUUCCUUUGACCACAUGGCUUUGUUUUUGCUAUGACAUGCACUGUCAACUGUUGGACAUGUGUGUGCCUUUCCAAAUCAUGUCCAAUCAAUUGAAUUUACCACAGGUGGACUCCAAUCAAGAUGUAGAAACAUCUCAAGGUUGAUCAAUGGAAACAGGAUGCACCUGAGCUCAAUUUCGAGUCUCAUAGCAAAGGGUUCGAAUAUCUAUG
Oncorhynchus mykiss (rainbow trout) is the source of this 2386-nucleotide long non-coding RNA. The record is from Ensembl. NCBI's taxonomy places the organism in Eukaryota, Metazoa, Chordata, Actinopteri, Salmoniformes, Salmonidae.